This 65-nucleotide transfer RNA is filed under the name Enoplochiton echinatus. RNAcentral's name for it is "tRNA-Pro". Lineage: Eukaryota; Metazoa; Mollusca; Polyplacophora; Chitonida; Chitonidae. The record is from RNAcentral.
CAGAUAAUAGUUUAAAUAAAACACUGACAUUGGAAGUCAAAAAUCAAAAAAUUUUUGUUAUCUGA